RNAcentral lists this non-coding RNA (28 nucleotides) under Mus musculus (house mouse). The record is from RNAcentral. Lineage: Eukaryota; Metazoa; Chordata; Mammalia; Rodentia; Muridae.
UUGUAGUGCGGGUUGAAGACCUGAGAGU